Molecule: ribosomal RNA, 247 nt
Filed under: uncultured archaeon
Lineage: Archaea
Description: partial 16S ribosomal RNA
Rfam family: Archaeal small subunit ribosomal RNA
Source: RNAcentral
CCGACGGUGAGGGACGAAAGCUGGGGGAGCAAACCGGAUUAGAUACCCGGGUAGUCCCAGCUGUAAACGAUGCGCGUUAGGUGUGUCAGUGACCACGUGUCACUGAUGUGCCGAAGGGAAACCGUGAAACGCGCCGCCUGGGGAGUACGGUCGCAAGGCUGAAACUUAAAGGAAUUGGCGGGGGAGCACCACAACGGGUGGAGCUUGCGGUUUAAUCGGACUCAACGCCGGAAAUCUCACCGGAUAA